RNAcentral lists this ribosomal RNA (472 nucleotides) under uncultured bacterium. Its description in RNAcentral is "partial 16S ribosomal RNA". It matches the Rfam family "Bacterial small subunit ribosomal RNA", at positions 28 to 507 of the family's 1533-position model. The record is from RNAcentral.
GACGAACGCUGGCGGCGUGCUUAACACAUGCAAGUCGAACGAUGAACCCGGAGCUUGCUCUGGGGGAUGAGUGGCGAACGGGUGAGUAACACGAGAGUAACCUGCCCUGGACUCUGGGAUAAGCGUUGGAAACGACGUCUAAUACCGGAUAGGACCUUGGAUCGCAUGAUCUGGGGUGGAAAGUUUUUUCGGUCUGGGAUGGACUCGCGGCGUGUCAGCUUGUUGGUGGGGUAAUGGCUCACCAAGGGGCCGACAGGUAGCCGGCCUGCGUGGGUGCCCGGCCACGCUGGAGCUGAGACAGGGACGCGACAGCUGCGAGAGGCAGCAGUGGGGAGUAUGGCUGAAUGGGCGAAAGCGUGAUGGAGAAGAGGGGCGUGCGGGAGGACGGCCUUCGUGUUGUGAACCGCUUUGAGUAGGGAAGAAGGGCGUCGGCUUGACGGUACCUGCAGAAAAAGGACCGGCUAACUACGUG